RNAcentral lists this ribosomal RNA (422 nucleotides) under uncultured Lachnospiraceae bacterium. Its description in RNAcentral is "bacterial SSU rRNA". It matches the Rfam family "Bacterial small subunit ribosomal RNA", at positions 355 to 794 of the family's 1533-position model. The record is from RNAcentral. Lineage: Bacteria; Bacillati; Bacillota; Clostridia; Lachnospirales; Lachnospiraceae.
UGGGGAAUAUUGCACAAUGGGGGAAACCCUGAUGCAGCGACGCCGCGUGAGUGAAGAAGUAUUUCGGUAUGUAAAGCUCUAUCAGCAGGGAAGAAGAUGACGGUACCUGAGUAAGAAGCACCGGCUAAAUACGUGCCAGCAGCCGCGGUAAUACGUAUGGUGCAAGCGUUAUCCGGAUUUACUGGGUGUAAAGGGAGCGUAGGUGGCAUGGCAAGCCAGAAGUGAAAGCCCGGGGCUUAACCGCGGGACUGCUUUUGGAACUGUUGUGCUGGAGUGCAGGAGGGGUAAGCGGAAUUCCUGGUGUAGCGGUGAAAUGCGUAGAUAUCAGGAGGAACACCGGUGGCGAAGGCGGCUUACUGGACUGUAACUGACACUGAGGCUCGAAAGCGUGGGGAGCAAACAGGAUUAGAUACCCUGGUAGU